This 466-nucleotide ribosomal RNA is filed under the name uncultured bacterium. RNAcentral's name for it is "bacterial SSU rRNA". It matches the Rfam family "Bacterial small subunit ribosomal RNA", at positions 329 to 792 of the family's 1533-position model. The record is from RNAcentral.
CGCCAGACUCCUACGGGAGGCAGCAGUGAGGAAUAUUGGUCAAUGGGCGCGAGCCUGAACCAGCCAAGUCGCGUGAGGGAUGAAGGAUCUAUGGUUCGUAAACCUCUUUUAUAAGGGAAUAAAGUGCGGGACGCGUCCCGCUUCGCAUGUACCUUAUGAAUAAGGAUCGGCUAACUCCGUGCCAGCAGCCGCGGUAAUACGGAGGAUCCGAGCGUUAUCCGGAUUUAUUGGGUUUAAAGGGUGCGUAGGCGGCCUUUUAAGUCAGCGGUGAAAGUCUGUGGCUCAACCAUAGAAUUGCCGUUGAAACUGGCGUUCUUGAGUGAGCGAGAAGUAUGCGGAAUGCGUGGUGUAGCGGUGAAAUGCAUAGAUAUCACGCAGAACUCCGAUUGCGAAGGCAGCAUACCGGCGCUCAACUGACGCUCAUGCACGAAAGCGUGGGUAUCGAACAGGAUUAGAUACCCCAGUA